UACGUAGGGUGCAAGCGUUGUCCGGAAUUAUUGGGCGUAAAGAGCUCGUAGGCGGUCUGUUGCGUCGGCUGUGAAAACCCGGGGCUCAACUCCGGGCCUGCAGCCGAUACGGGCAGACUAGAGUUCGGCAGGGGAGACUGGAAUUCCUGGUGUAGCGGUGAGAUGCGCAGAUAUCAGGAGGAACACCGGUGGCGAAGGCGGGUCUCUGGGCCGAUACUGACGCUGAGGAGCGAAAGCGUGGGGAGCGAACAGG
This 253-nucleotide ribosomal RNA is filed under the name uncultured bacterium. RNAcentral describes it as "partial 16S ribosomal RNA". It matches the Rfam family "Bacterial small subunit ribosomal RNA", at positions 524 to 776 of the family's 1533-position model. The record is from RNAcentral.